Long non-coding RNA from Amblyraja radiata (thorny skate), 154 nucleotides. RefSeq lists it as uncharacterized. NCBI's taxonomy places the organism in Eukaryota, Metazoa, Chordata, Chondrichthyes, Rajiformes, Rajidae. The record is from RefSeq and is a predicted model, not a curated record. The transcript is spliced from 3 exons.
GCACGUUGAAUAACUUUGCUGGAAGUCUUGUUGAUCGUUUGUGCUUGUGUUCUUUGGCACGCAGGGUGACGAUGAGGCAGAGUACGAGAAAUGGAGAGUGGAAAAUUCAUGGGGGGAAGAAAGUGGGAACAAAGGUAAUCUGACGCUGUAAGAC